RNAcentral lists this ribosomal RNA (374 nucleotides) under uncultured bacterium. RNAcentral describes it as "bacterial SSU rRNA". It matches the Rfam family "Bacterial small subunit ribosomal RNA", at positions 524 to 898 of the family's 1533-position model. The record is from RNAcentral.
UACGGAGGGUGCAAGCGUUAAUCGGAAUCACUGGGCGUAAAGCGUGCGUAGGCGGCUUUGCAAGUCAGGGGUGAAAGCCCUCGGCUCAACCGAGGAAUUGCCUUUGAAACUGCUUGGCUUGAGUACUGGAGAGGCAGGCGGAAUUCCGGGUGUAGGGGUGAAAUCCGUAGAUAUCCGGAGGAACACCAGUGGCGAAGGCGGCCUGCUGGACAGAUACUGACGCUGAGGUACGAAAGCGUGGGGAGCAAACAGGAUUAGAUACCCUGGUAGUCCACGCGGUAAACGAUGGAUGCUAGGUGUCGGGGGGGUUGCCCCUCGGUGCCGCAGUUAACGCGUUAAGCAUCCCGCCUGGGGAGUACGGUCGCAAGGCUGAA